RNAcentral lists this ribosomal RNA (433 nucleotides) under uncultured bacterium. RNAcentral's name for it is "partial 16S ribosomal RNA". It matches the Rfam family "Bacterial small subunit ribosomal RNA", at positions 29 to 507 of the family's 1533-position model. The record is from RNAcentral.
AACGAACGCUGGCGGCAGGCCUAACACAUGCAAGUCGAGCGCGCCCUUCGGGGUGAGCGGCGGACGGGUGAGUAACGCGUGGGAACGUGCCCUUUUCUACGGAAUAGCCUCGGGAAACUGAGAGUAAUACCGUAUACGCCCUUUGGGGGCAAGAUUUAUCGGAAAAGGAUCGGCCCGCGUUGGAUUAGGUAGUUGGUGGGGUAAUGGCCUACCAAGCCGACGAUCCAUAGCUGGUUUGAGAGGAUGAUCAGCCACACUGGGACUGAGACACGGCCCAGACUCAUACGGGAGGCAGCAGUGGGGAAUCUUAGACAAUGGGGGCAAGCCUGAUCUAGCCAUGCCGCGUGAGUGAUGAAGGCGUUAGGGUUGUAAAGCUCUUUCAGCUGGGAAGAUAAUGACGGUACCAGCAGAAGAAGCCCCGGCUAACUCCGUG